AGCAGCCGCGGUAAUUCCAGCUCCAAUAGCGUAUAUUAAAGUUGUUGCAGUUAAAAAGCUCGUAGUUGAAUUUCGGGAUCAAUAUGUCGGUCGUGCUUCGGUACGUACUGGCGUUAUUGGUUUCUCCCUUCUGAAGAACCGCGAUGUCAUUAAUUUGGUGUCGUGGGGAAUCAGGACUGUUACUUUGAAAAAAUUAGAGUGUUUAAAGCAGGCUCGCGCUUGAAUACAUUAGCAUGGAAUAAUGAAAUAGGACGUUUGAUUCUAUUUUGUUGGUUUCUAGGAUCGACGUAAUGAUUAAUAGGGAUAGUUGGGGGCAUUAGUACUCAAUUGUCAGAGGUGAAAUUCUUGGAUUUAUUGAAGACUAACUACUGCGAAAGCAUUUGCCAAGGAUGUUUUCAUUAAUCAAGAACGAAAGUUAGGGGAUCGAAGACGAUCAGAUACCGUCGUAGUCUUAACCAUAAACUAUGCCGACUAGGGAUCGGAUGAUGUUAAUUUUUAAUGACUCAUUCGGCGCCUUACG
This 520-nucleotide ribosomal RNA is filed under the name uncultured Glomus. Its description in RNAcentral is "SSU rRNA". It matches the Rfam family "Eukaryotic small subunit ribosomal RNA", at positions 569 to 1092 of the family's 1831-position model. Lineage: Eukaryota; Fungi; Glomeromycota; Glomeromycetes; Glomerales; Glomeraceae. The record is from RNAcentral.